AUUGAACGCUGGCGGCAGGCCUAACACAUGCAAGUCGGACGGUAGCACAGAGAGCUUGCUCUUGGGUGACGAGUGGCGGAUGGGUGAGUAAUGUCUGGGGAUCUGCCCGAUAGAGGGGGAUAACCACUGGAAACGGUGGCUAAUACCGCAUAACGUCGCAAGACCAAAGAGGGGGACCUUCGGGCCUCUCACUAUCGGAUGAACCCAGAUGGGAUUAGCUAGUAGGCGGGGUAAUGGCCCACCUAGGCGACGAUCCCUAGCUGGUCUGAGAGGAUGACCAGCCACACUGGAACUGAGACACGGUCCAGACUCCUACGGGAGGCAGCAGUGGGGAAUAUUGCACAAUGGGCGCAAGCCUGAUGCAGCCAUGCCGCGUGUAUGAAGAAGGCCUUCGGGUUGUAAAGUACUUUCAGCGGGGAGGAAGGCGGUGAGGUUAAUAACCUCGCCGAUUGACGUUACCCGCAGAAGAAGCACCGGCUAACUCCGUGCCAGCCGCCGCAGUAA
This 504-nucleotide ribosomal RNA is filed under the name uncultured bacterium. Its description in RNAcentral is "partial 16S ribosomal RNA". It matches the Rfam family "Bacterial small subunit ribosomal RNA", at positions 29 to 523 of the family's 1533-position model. The record is from RNAcentral.